UACGUAGGGGGCAAGCGUUGUCCGGAAUCAUUGGGCGUAAAGAGCGUGUAGGCGGUUCGGUAAGUCGGCUGUGAAAGUCCAGGGCUCAACCCUGGGAUGCCGGUCGAUACUGCCGGACUAGAGUUCGGAAGAGGCGAGUGGAAUUCCCGGUGUAGCGGUGAAAUGCGCAGAUAUCGGGAGGAACACCGGUGGCGAAGGCGGAUCUCUGGGCCUUACCUGACGCUGAGGCGCGAAAGCUAGGGGAGCGAACAGG
RNAcentral lists this ribosomal RNA (253 nucleotides) under uncultured bacterium. Its description in RNAcentral is "partial 16S ribosomal RNA". It matches the Rfam family "Bacterial small subunit ribosomal RNA", at positions 524 to 776 of the family's 1533-position model. The record is from RNAcentral.